RNAcentral lists this transfer RNA (98 nucleotides) under Metallosphaera yellowstonensis MK1. It matches the Rfam family "tRNA". From Rfam's summary of the family: Transfer RNA (tRNA) molecules are approximately 80 nucleotides in length. Their secondary structure includes four short double-helical elements and three loops (D, anti-codon, and T loops). Lineage: Archaea; Thermoproteati; Thermoproteota; Thermoprotei; Sulfolobales; Sulfolobaceae. The record is from Rfam by way of RNAcentral.
GCGGGGGUGCCCGAGCCUGGUCAAAGGGGGCGGACUUAAGAUCUGGAUAGGAGAUCCGCUGGUGUAGACCUGCGCGGGUUCGAAUCCCGUCCCCCGCA